AAAGUGUGCCUAUUUUUUUUGUUGUUGUCUUCAAAGUGUAGUUUAUUCGUACAAAAUUAAGUAACUUAGGCAUUUCCACACUUCCUAAUU
Long non-coding RNA from Sinocyclocheilus rhinocerous, 90 nucleotides. RefSeq lists it as uncharacterized. The record is from RefSeq and is a predicted model, not a curated record. The transcript has 3 exons. Lineage: Eukaryota; Metazoa; Chordata; Actinopteri; Cypriniformes; Cyprinidae.